This 402-nucleotide ribosomal RNA is filed under the name uncultured bacterium. RNAcentral's name for it is "bacterial SSU rRNA". It matches the Rfam family "Bacterial small subunit ribosomal RNA", at positions 30 to 418 of the family's 1533-position model. The record is from RNAcentral.
AGUGAACGCUGGCGGCAGGCCUAACACAUGCAAGUCGAGCGGCAGCGCGUCCGACCACCCUCGGGUGGUCGGAUGGCGGCGAGCGGCGGACGGGUGAGGAAUGCAUCGGAAUCUGCCUCGUUGUGGGGGAUAACGUAGGGAAACUUACGCUAAUACCGCAUACGACCUACGGGUGAAAGUGGGGGACCUUCGGGCCUCACGCGAUGAGAUGAGCCGAUGCCGGAUUAGCUAGUUGGCGGGGUAAAGGCCCGCCAAGGCGACGAUCCGUAGCUGGUCUGAGAGGAUGAUCAGCCACACUGGAACUGAGACACGGUCCAGACUCCUACGGGAGGCAGCAGUGGGGAAUAUUGGACAAUGGGGGCAACCCUGAUCCAGCCACGCCGCGUGUGUGAAGAAGGCCUU